AUGAGCGGAAGAGGUCGUCUACUGGACGCGGUUCAACUAGCGGAGACUCUUGGAAAAGAUGGACUAAAAAGUCCCCAAGUUAGCAUAUUAUGGGGGACCGUCAAGCACAUCCGGCAAAGAUCGAGGGGGAUCUCGUUGUUGCAUAGCUCAGGUCAGAGCAAGGUGCCAUCAGGCGUUCAACAUGCAGUCUCACGAUCGGGCAUGAGUGUCCUGAAGAAGAAAUUGUAUACUCCCUUUGGUCGGAAGGCGGCGGGGGAAGGAAGGGGACACUGGGCGGGAUCUUUCAGCAGCGAAUUCCCCAUACAGAUAGAGGCGCCUAUCAAAAAGAUACUCCGAAGGCUUUGGGAUCGAGGUCUCAUUAGCCGAAGAAGACCUAGGCCAAUCCACGUGGCCUCUUUGACCAACGUCAGCGACAGAGACAUAGUAAAUUGGUCCACGGGCAUCGCGAUAAGUCCUCUGUCCUACUACAGGUGCUGCAAUAACCUUUACCAAGUCCGAACGAUUGUCAACUACCAGAUCCGCUGGUCCGCUAUAUUCACCCUAGCCCACAAGCACAAAUCUUCAGCGCGGAAUAUAAUCCUAAAGUACCCCAAAGACUCAAAUAUAGUCAAUCAAGAAGGUGGUAAGACCCUUGCUGAGUUCCCAAACAGCAUAGAGCUUGGGAAGCUCGGACUCGGUCAAGAUCCGAACAACGACGGAGCACUCAACUACAUGUUUAAUAAGUAG
This 726-nucleotide ribosomal RNA is filed under the name Triticum aestivum (bread wheat). RNAcentral's name for it is "partial small subunit ribosomal RNA". Lineage: Eukaryota; Viridiplantae; Streptophyta; Magnoliopsida; Poales; Poaceae. The record is from RNAcentral.